Long non-coding RNA from Magnolia sinica, 1141 nucleotides. RefSeq lists it as uncharacterized. The transcript has 3 exons. The record is from RefSeq and is a predicted model, not a curated record. Lineage: Eukaryota; Viridiplantae; Streptophyta; Magnoliopsida; Magnoliales; Magnoliaceae.
AUGCUGAUUGGAAAAGGGCAGUAACAGGUCUUCUUAUUUUGAUUGGUUCACAUUUGCCUGAUCUGAUGAUGGAGGAAAUUUUUCUUCAUCUCUCUUGACCUAAUUCGGCUCUACUAGCAAUGGUUCAAAUGCUUGUGGACUUCGCUUCAGCUGAAGCCUUGCAGUUCACCCCAUGACUAAAGCCUUCUAUGGACGGUCCCACAACCUGGGUAAAAGAGAAAGGUUGGUGUCUAAAAAAAAAAACACAAAAAAUUUCCCAUAUAAAUUUCUUGGUUGGUCUGACAACCCAAAUUAGUUUGAACCUUCUUCAUGAUCAUCAUGUACCCAGGUACGAAUCUUUGACGGUUUCUAGUUUGGGGUGGAUGAGGCAGUGUGGGAUGAGACUGUUAGAGUUCAACCAUUUCUUGUUAUUUGACCCUACUUUUUUGUAAAUAAAAAAUUCCUUCCUUUCGGGGCCACUCCUACUUUUUUUGCUGGUAUGCUUUUUUUACUUCUAAGAAUGUCUUCAUAGGAUAGAACUAUAAUUAAGUUUGGAUUGUGGAUUUGUAUAUGUUUAGGGUAUUUGUUCUUUAAUAUCUCAUGCAGACCCAAAAGAUCCUAGUUUGAGGGGAGUUGAAAAUUCCUUCCUUUCAGGGCCACUCCUUGUAUGUGCAAGGUACCUCAAAUUUACUGUACCAAUUACUUUAGAGUUAAAAGUCCAGUCUUCUGCCUUGUGUCCUGUAAGAUUGUAGUGCUAGACCUACAUGGAAAACACAGAAUAUAAUUUUGUGGUCUAACAUGCGUUAAAUAUCUGGCCUUGGUAAGAAGUUUGAAGUAAUAAAAUAUCCUGGGCACAAAUUAUGCUUUGCAUAUGUAUGUUGUUUAAUUUCUUUGCCUAAGAAAAUAAGGUCGAAUUUAUACGUUUAUACUAAUAACCUUGUUGGUGUUGUCAUCAGCACUGUUUGUCAGUCCUCUUUAUCAGUGAAGCUACCAGUACAUUUUCCAUAGUGUUCUCUAUAAUGAUCACGAUCAUGGAGGCACACUUUUAUUCUCAAUUUCUAUCAUCUCACAGAUUCUUAGCUGCAUCCAUCUAAUUUAUACUUUUUAUUCCUUGUGUAAGGAUGUGGUUUGAUGUGAAUCUUUUCACUCAAUGCAAUUUAUG